GGUCUGGUAGGUGAUUGUGUGGUUGGCCAAUCUUUGAAGGUAUGUCAUUUCUUGUGCAUAUUGUAGCCCUGCAAUUUCUGUCUAUGGACUUCCAAGAGAUCCAAGUAUCUCUUUUGUUGUUCUGGUGGUGUGUGUAGCCAUUGCAUAUCAGAUGGUUUGAUGGGAAUACAUUUUUUUUUUAACUUUUUGUGUUGCACGAUG
This 201-nucleotide long non-coding RNA is filed under the name Mytilus galloprovincialis (Mediterranean mussel). The record is from RNAcentral. Lineage: Eukaryota; Metazoa; Mollusca; Bivalvia; Mytilida; Mytilidae.